This is a long non-coding RNA of Coregonus clupeaformis (lake whitefish), 399 nucleotides long. RefSeq lists it as uncharacterized. The transcript is spliced from 6 exons. The record is from RefSeq and is a predicted model, not a curated record. Lineage: Eukaryota; Metazoa; Chordata; Actinopteri; Salmoniformes; Salmonidae.
GAGGUUGCCUCCGUCUCUACGCCCACCACUCAGCAGUUCACUGAGCCAGAGCCUGAGGGCCACAACUGCUAUGAGGGCUGGGAGGAGGACCUGCUGCCUGAGGAGAGGGAGGUUCCUCUGCUAAACCUCUACCUUACCACCAAGAGAGUGGAGGACAUCGGCCUGAGGCUCGUCUCCCUGCGCCAGGCCUUUACUGACGAGGCCGAAUUCAUCCGUGCCUAUAACGACUUUGUGGACUACCUGAGUGACCCCUCCGAAGCAGAUUGACAUUGAGAGGGAGCUGGCUGAGGCAAAGAUCCAUCAUGUUAACCUGAUAGAUGUCCUUUUUGAGCUGGUGCUGUUUGGGAUGAUGACAGCUCAGAAAUCCCUGAUGGUGCAACCUGGUGGGUUCAUGGAGCG